This 500-nucleotide ribosomal RNA is filed under the name uncultured bacterium. RNAcentral's name for it is "partial 16S ribosomal RNA". It matches the Rfam family "Bacterial small subunit ribosomal RNA", at positions 30 to 523 of the family's 1533-position model. The record is from RNAcentral.
AUUGAACGCUGGCGGAAUGCUUUACACAUGCAAGUCGAACGGCAGCACGGACUUCGGUCUGGUGGCGAGUGGCGAACGGGUGAGUAAUGUAUCGGAACGUGCCCAGUCGUGGGGGAUAACGUAGUGAAAAUUACGCUAAUACCGCAUACGAUCUAUGGAUGAAAGCGGGGGAUCGCAAGACCUCGCGCGAUUGGAGCGGCCGAUAUCAGAUUAGGUAGUUGGUGGGGUAAAGGCCCACCAAGCCAACGAUCUGUAGCUGGCCUGAGAGGACGACCAGCCACACUGGAACUGGGACACGGUCCAGACUCCUACGGGAGGCAGCAGUGGGGAAUUUUGGGCAAUGGGCGAAAGCCUGAUCCAGCCAUUCCGCGUGCAGGAUGAAGGCCCUCGGGUUGUAAACUGCUUUUGUACAGAACGAAAAGGUUUCUACUAAUACUAGGAGCUCAUGACGGUACUGUAAGAAUAAGCACCGGCUAACUACGUGCCAGCCGCCGCCGUAA